This is a non-coding RNA of Acanthosepion pharaonis, 106 nucleotides long. The record is from the annotation of a GenBank genome assembly. Lineage: Eukaryota; Metazoa; Mollusca; Cephalopoda; Sepiida; Sepiidae.
CAACCACAUCACGUUGAAACACCGGUUCACGAUCACCGAAGUUAAGCAACGUCGAACCUGGUCAGUACCUAGAUGGGUAACUGCUUGGGAAUACCAGGUAGUGUAA